GACGAACGCUGGCGGCGUGCUUAACACAUGCAAGUCGAACGGAAAGGCCCUGCUUUUGUGGGGUGCUCGGGUGGCGAACGGGAGGGGAACACGAGAGGAACCUACCCUGCACUCUGGGAUAACUUCACGACACUGGAGCGAGUCCAGGAUAGGAUCUUCUGGGGCAGGGGGGGGGUUGGAAAGGGUCGGCGGUUGGGGAUGGGCGGGCGGCUUAUCAGCCUGUUGGGGGGGUUGUGGGUUACCAGGGCUUGGACGGGUAGCCGGCCUGAGAGGGAGACCGGCAACAUUGGGACUGCGAUACGGCGCAGACUCGUACGGGAGGCAGCAGUGGGGAAUAUUGUAAAACGGCGGCGAGCCGGAUGCAGCGGCGCCGCGCGCGGGAUGAACGCCUUCGGGUUGUGAACCGCUCUCGCCUGUGACGAGGGGUGAUUGACGGUAAUGGGUAAAGAAGCACCGGCUAACUACGUG
This 468-nucleotide ribosomal RNA is filed under the name uncultured bacterium. RNAcentral's name for it is "partial 16S ribosomal RNA". It matches the Rfam family "Bacterial small subunit ribosomal RNA", at positions 28 to 507 of the family's 1533-position model. The record is from RNAcentral.